RNAcentral lists this ribosomal RNA (684 nucleotides) under uncultured bacterium. RNAcentral's name for it is "bacterial SSU rRNA". It matches the Rfam family "Bacterial small subunit ribosomal RNA", at positions 104 to 805 of the family's 1533-position model. The record is from RNAcentral.
GGGUGAGUAACGCGUGGGCAACCUGCCCCACACAGGGGGAUAACAGCCGGAAACGGCUGCUAAUACCGCAUAAGCGCACAGCUUCGCAUGAAGCGGUGUGAAAAGCCUUGGGCGGUGUGGGAUGGGCCCGCGUCUGAUUAGCUGGUUGGCGGGGCAACGGCCCACCAAGGCGACGAUCAGUAGCCGGCCUGAGAGAGUGGACGGCCACAUUGGGACUGAGACACGGCCCAAACUCCUACGGGAGGCAGCAGUGGGGAAUAUUGCACAAUGGGGGAAACCCUGAUGCAGCGACGCCGCGUGAGCGAAGAAGUAUUUCGGUAUGUAAAGCUCUAUCAGCAGGGAAGAAAAUGACGGUACCUGAGUAAGAAGCUCCGGCUAAAUACGUGCCAGCAGCCGCGGUAAUACGUAUGGAGCAAGCGUUAUCCGGAUUUACUGGGUGUAAAGGGAGCGCAGGCGGUCUGGCAAGUCUGAUGUGAAAUACCGGGGCUCAACCCCGGGACUGCAUUGGAAACUGUCAGACUGGAGUGUCGGAGAGGCAGGCGGAAUUCCUGGUGUAGCGGUGAAAUGCGUAGAUAUCAGGAGGAACACCAGUGGCGAAGGCGGCCUGCUGGACGAUGACUGACGCUGAGGCUCGAAAGCGUGGGGAGCAAACAGGAUUAGAUACCCUGGUAGUCCACGCCGUAA